GAAGUGAACAAAAUCUGUGAAUGUUUCUCCUACACUAAUCUGGACGAUCUCUGUAAUUGUUGAUCAACUUCAUCAGCCAUUUCUUCUUUACCAAAUCUCUUAAACCCUCUUCUUAAAACCUUAGCUACAUAUUCAUCAAUCUCAAAUCUAGAACCCCAUCCACUCUUUUUCAUCAAUUCAUAAACCCUAACAGUAGAUUCCACCUGUUCACCUUCAACCAACGCCCUCACCAACCUUACCAGCGACUUAUCAUCACACUCAAUCCUUCCCACUUUCUCCAAAUCACAAAUCAAUUCAUCGAUAGGUUCAGCAAAACCUGUCCGGGUCAAAGCUAAGACCAUAUCAGCAUAAAGCCCUAAAUCAGGGACAUCACAUUCCGAUUGAACGGCUGGGAAUACUUUGAGGGCCAAAUCGCAAAGGUCUUGCCGUAGAAGUUCUUUGUAGGCAGCAAUUAGAUCUGUUUUGAUAAGACGAUUUAGGGUUUUUGAGACUUGAGCUUCGAUUUGAGAAGGGUCAGUUCUUUGAGCUCGUUUUAGAGCUUGAAUCGCUUGGAUUGCUUCGAUGCUUAGUAUUCGGCCCUUAACUAGAGGUCCACGGUUGCUUCGUGGACCGCAUCGUACUGAGAUUUUUCUUCUGGUGGUUGAUUUUGGUGGUGGAAGAGUUACAGAAGAAUGUUGUAAGGUGAAUUUGAG
RNAcentral lists this unclassified non-coding RNA (692 nucleotides) under Hevea brasiliensis (rubber tree). Lineage: Eukaryota; Viridiplantae; Streptophyta; Magnoliopsida; Malpighiales; Euphorbiaceae. The record is from RNAcentral.